This is a long non-coding RNA of Atta colombica, 348 nucleotides long. RefSeq lists it as uncharacterized. NCBI's taxonomy places the organism in Eukaryota, Metazoa, Arthropoda, Insecta, Hymenoptera, Formicidae. The record is from RefSeq and is a predicted model, not a curated record. The transcript is spliced from 3 exons.
UAAAUGUUAUUUUAUAACGAUUGUUUUAUCUGCUUGUUAAGUUUUAUUGUUUGUGUGCUUGUUAAGCUUUACGUUUACGUUUUACAUUGGACGGAAAUGUGUCUAAUUAGCAAAGAGUAGAUAAUGAAACGCUAAAUAAAAUAGAAGAAUAGAGAACGUACUGGCGAUGAUCAUUGUUGCUAGCGAGAGGAUGAACAGCAGACAAGCCAAUGACAGCCACACAACGGCGCAAAGUUAUGGGAUGCUGCUUUUAGGAAACAUGAAUGUUGUAAAAGGUACUCUACACUAGGCAGCUGUACAUCGAACAAGUUGAUUUACUUGGCGUGUUGCAAAGAAAUAGUCGUGGCG